RNAcentral lists this ribosomal RNA (301 nucleotides) under uncultured bacterium. RNAcentral's name for it is "partial 16S ribosomal RNA". It matches the Rfam family "Archaeal small subunit ribosomal RNA", at positions 460 to 761 of the family's 1478-position model. The record is from RNAcentral.
CGUAGCCGCGGGAAAACCAGCACCUCGAGUGGUCAGGAGGUUUAUUGGGCCUAAAGCAUCCGUAGCCGGUUGCAUAAGUUUUCGGUUAAAUCUAUGCGCUUAACGUAUAGGCCGCCGAAAAUACUGUGCAGCUAGGGAGUGGGAGAGGUACACGGUACUCGAUAGGAAGGGGUAAAAUCCUUUGAUCUAUUGAUGACCACCUGUGGCGAAGGCGGUGUACCAGAACACGUUCGACGGUGAGGGAUGAAAGCUGGGGGAGCAAACCGGAUUAGAUACCCCAGUAGUCCCUGUCUCUUAUACA